Molecule: ribosomal RNA, 305 nt
Filed under: uncultured bacterium
Lineage: Bacteria
Description: partial 16S ribosomal RNA
Rfam family: Bacterial small subunit ribosomal RNA
Source: RNAcentral
ACAGCAGCCGCCACGGGAAUACAGAGGGUGCAAGCGUUAAUCGGAUUUACUGGGCGUAAAGGGCGCGUAGGUGGUUAUGUAAGUGAGAUGUGAAAUCCCCGGGCUCAACCUGGGAACUGCAUCUUAUACUGCGUAGCUGGAGUGCAGUAGAGGGUAGUGGAAUUUCCGGUGUAGCGGUGAAAUGCGUAGAUAUCGGAAGGAACACCAGUGGCGAAGGCGGCUACCUGGACUGACACUGACACUGAGGCGCGAAAGCGUGGGGAGCAAACAGGAUUAGAUACCCCCGUAGUCCCUGUCUCUUAUAC